AGUGAACGCUGGCGGUAGGCCUAACACAUGCAAGUCGAACGGCAGCACAGUAAGAGCUUGCUCUUACGGGUGGCGAGUGGCGGACGGGUGAGGAAUACAUCGGAAUCUACUUUUUCGUGGGGGAUAACGUAGGGAAACUUACGCUAAUACCGCAUACGACCUACGGGUGAAAGCAGGGGAUCUUCGGACCUUGCGCGAUUGAAUGAGCCGAUGUCGGAUUAGCUAGUUGGCGGGGUAAAGGCCCACCAAGGCGACGAUCCGUAGCUGGUCUGAGAGGAUGAUCAGCCACGCUGGAACUGAGACACGGUCCAGACUCCUACGGGAGGCAGCAGUGGGGAAUAUUGGACAAUGGGCGCAAGCCUGAUCCAGCCAUACCGCGUGGGUGAAGAAGGCCUUCAGGUUGUAAAGCCCUUUUGUUGGGAAAGAAAAGCAGCAGGUUAAUACCCCGCUGUUCUGACGGUACCCAAAGAAUAAGCACCGGCUAACUUCGUG
This 492-nucleotide ribosomal RNA is filed under the name uncultured bacterium. RNAcentral describes it as "partial 16S ribosomal RNA". It matches the Rfam family "Bacterial small subunit ribosomal RNA", at positions 29 to 507 of the family's 1533-position model. The record is from RNAcentral.